This 456-nucleotide ribosomal RNA is filed under the name uncultured eubacterium WJGRT-123. RNAcentral describes it as "bacterial SSU rRNA". It matches the Rfam family "Bacterial small subunit ribosomal RNA", at positions 49 to 506 of the family's 1533-position model. The record is from RNAcentral.
UUACACAUGCAAGUCGAACGCGAAAGGGGGUAACCUGAGUAGAGUGGCGAACGGGUGAGUAAUGCAUCGGAACGUGUCCUGUAGCGGGGGACAACCCCGAGAAAUCGGGGCUAAUACCGCAUACGUCCUACGGAGAAAGUGGGGACCGCAAGGCCUCACGCUAUAGGGGCGGCCGAUGCCGGAUUAGCUAGUUGGUGAGGUAAGAGCUCACCAAGGCGACGAUCCGUAGCUGGUCUGAGAGGAUGAUCAGCCACACUGGGACUGAGACACGGCCCAGACUCCUACGGGAGGCAGCAGUGGGGAAUUUUGGACAAUGGGCGCAAGCUGAAUCCAGCCAUGCCGCGUGAGUGAAGAAGGCCUUCGGGUUGUAAAGCUCUUUCGGCCGGGACGAAAUCGCUCUCGCUAAUAUCGGGAGUGGAUGACGGUACCGUAUAAGGAAGCACCGGCUAACUACGU